Mauremys reevesii (Reeves's turtle) is the source of this 670-nucleotide long non-coding RNA. RefSeq lists it as uncharacterized. NCBI's taxonomy places the organism in Eukaryota, Metazoa, Chordata, Testudines, Geoemydidae. The record is from RefSeq and is a predicted model, not a curated record. The transcript has 4 exons.
ACUGAGGUGAGGUGGGGAUAGGGGAUGGUGGCUCCCUGUGGAGAGGAGACCCAGUGAGACUGUGGGGUUCUGCAAGGGGAAGCACCCCAAUCUGAAAGAGGCACUGGGAUCCAAGAGGGACUUGGGACCUGGCGGGAAGCGGGACAUCGGCCAGAAGAGGGUACUCUUGGGUCGAAGAGCUAAUUCCCAGGAUGACCGACAGGAGGCGCCGCAGGGUAGAACCUCAGUUUCCCCACCUUCUGAUGUGAAUGUGCAAACUGCCCACACUCCAAAAUGCAGAGGCCAGCCAGCCAGCCAGAGGUGAACCACGACCCCAGACACAGGAUGCCGCUGAGGGAGAGGAGACCAUGGAGACCUUAAGAGGGAAAGCCGCACUGCAGAGAAUCGGGUGCAUCUGCAAGGACCAUCAGCCACACAGCACCAGAGAUGUGUUGUUGCCUUCCAGUGGGGUGCCUAUCACAUAUCUGGAGAAGAGUGAUUACCCAGCUGCCUCCCCCCAACUCCCUCCCAAGGCUGGGCAUACUGUAGCUGGAUCCUCUUUUGCGGCACCCCACCCACCCAACAGCCACCCAGCAGUCAACUUCUCAAGACUCCAGCCAGGGGGCCUCAACCUAAAGACUUCUAUCACAGAUUCAUAGAGCAUAAAAUCAGAAGGGACCUUUAGAUCAUU